CGGAAGGAUCAUUACCGAGUUUUCGAGCUCCGGCUCGACUCUCCCACCCUUUGUGAACGUACCUCUGUUGCUUUGGCGGCUCCGGCCGCCAAAGGACCUUCAAACUCCAGUCAGUAAACGCAGACGUCUGAUAAACAAGUUAAUAAACUAAAACUUUCAACAACGGAUCUCUUGGUUCUGGCAUCGAUGAAGAACGCAGCGAAAUGCGAUAAGUAAUGUGAAUUGCAGAAUUCAGUGAAUCAUCGAAUCUUUGAACGCACAUUGCGCCCCUUGGUAUUCCGGGGGGCAUGCCUGUUCGAGCGUCAUUACAACCCUCAAGCUCUGCUUGGAAUUGGGCACCGUCCUCACUGCGGACGCGCCUCAAAGACCUCGGCGGUGGCUGUUCAGCCCUCAAGCGUAGUAGAAUACACCUCGCUUUGGAGCGGUUGGCGUCGCCCGCCGGACGAACCUUCUGAACUUUUCUCAAGGUUGACCUCGGAUCAGGUAGGGAUACCCGCUGAACUUAAGCAUAUCAAUAA
RNAcentral lists this ribosomal RNA (518 nucleotides) under fungal sp. E14417A. RNAcentral's name for it is "eukaryotic LSU rRNA". The stretch from base 152 to 305 matches the Rfam family "5.8S ribosomal RNA". The record is from RNAcentral. Lineage: Eukaryota; Fungi.